This 1310-nucleotide long non-coding RNA is filed under the name Fukomys damarensis (Damara mole-rat). RNAcentral describes it as "lncRNA (ENSFDAG00000030764.1)". Lineage: Eukaryota; Metazoa; Chordata; Mammalia; Rodentia; Bathyergidae. The record is from RNAcentral.
CUGUUGUUUGAGCACACUCAGAUGUUUUUACUAAAGUGUUUUAGUUUCUUACCUGAAACUACAGGAGAGCAGAGGAGGCAGGACAAGGAGGAAGGCUGGGAUGCACCAGGAGUUUUCCCACGGGGAGGUCAGGAGACUGUCACUUGUCCCAAAUUGACACUGGAUAUCUGAAAAAUAAGUGAAUAUUCGAGUUAAACUGUUUUUGCAUAGGACAAAUAAAAUGUACUAGUCAACAAACUCAGCGCUUAUACAACACAUUUAAAAUGGUGCAGCCACCCUAGAAACAGCCUGGCAGCUCUAGAAGGUCAGACUAGAAUUGCCAUGACCAGCUACGUCCCCAAGAAGAAAUGCAGGCGUACACUCAGGAGCGAUCUAGGACGCACACUCACUCGAUGAGCAGACCAGGGGUGCCGCAGGCGGUGCUCGAGCCCAAGAACCUGCGCGGAGCUGGUCAUGAGCAUGCGCACACGCGCUCCUCCAGGUGCGUGAAACAUGAAGCGCCUGGACGCGCAGCUUCCUGCCCAGAGGCCUGAAGCUGGAGGAGGAGAGCCAGAGUGGUUUCCUUCGGGAGUAGGGAAGCGUUCUGAAGCUGGUGGUGGCCAUGGCUGCACAGAUCUGAGUUACUGAGGAAGUUACUGAGUCGUGCACUCCACACGGCUGCACUGUGGCACGUGAUGAACUACAUUCCCAGAGAGCGUUGCGGCAGCACUAACCUGGCUGACAAGGGCGUGCAGAUUCCUGGAGGUAAAGGUCACGCACCUGCUCUGUUUAUCCACGCUCUGGUGAGAGUCCCGGACUGGCCGGGUGAAGGCACACGCAGCAGCUCGGGGCCAGCUGUGGCCAGCACGGGGCCCUCGGGUGCAGCCCACGUUCCUGGGGAGCCAGGCCCUGCUCCCCGGAGCCAUGGAGAGCCCGCUCUGCAGCACCAGCAGUGGAACAGCUUUGGGGAGAGCAGCAGAGAGGCUGAUGGGGACACCGAACUUUCCGUGUUUUCCAGCUUCCCUCCCUCUUGCUCCAAAACGGAACCACUUCUCAGAGCUCCAGCGCAAGCUGGAUUUAACAGUCCUGACUAAUGUAGUGGGCCUUGUUGGAUAUGAGGGUCACGUGAAGUGUUUGGUCUGUGGUUCGAAGGAAGGCCUAGAGCUCGGCCUACAAGCAGCAGAGGAGCACAUUCAUGCACGUGGCCCCAGAUAUGCACGUCAGAUUUCUUUUGCACCCUAGAGAUGCUGCACACACUUUUCGGUGUUUCCUAAAUUUCUAUUUGAUUUUCCUGCUCCUGGUUUCCCUGAUGUAUGAUAGAGGUCUUCAUG